This is a non-coding RNA of Onychostoma macrolepis, 533 nucleotides long. The record is from the annotation of a RefSeq genome assembly. Lineage: Eukaryota; Metazoa; Chordata; Actinopteri; Cypriniformes; Cyprinidae.
UGUGACUCAGAGAGGAGUGACUCAGUAAUCGAAUCUGACAGAGACUGUGAUAGAAACAGUCUGACUCUUCUCAGAGUGAACACUUGUACGAUGGAUCUUCAUUCAGUUAUUCUGUUCUGUGCCUCAAUUGCUGCGGUCUUUGGAAAUGUAAUUAAACCAAACAAAACCGAUAUUGUUUAUGAGGAGGAUUCAAAUGUUACAUUGACCUGUAGUCAUUCCCCUGGAGCUUCAGAUACUCUCUACUGGUACCGUCAGUAUGGAAGAUCAAAACCUGAAUUUCUUGUACUCACCUACGGUAGUGCAAAAGAAGCUCAGCGGUCUGAUGUAGAUCCAAGAUUUUCUGUUAAAGUUGAAAAAAGGGAAAAAAAACACGUGGAUCUGAAGAUCUCUUCUGCUGCUGUAUCAGACUCUGCUCUGUACUACUGUGCUCUGAGGCCCACAGUGACAGGAAACACAUCAGCUCUCUACAAAAACCUGUUACAGUGAGAGACAAGAGAGAAACACAGAGACAGAGAUGAAGACGGAGAGAAAGA